RNAcentral lists this ribosomal RNA (300 nucleotides) under uncultured bacterium. RNAcentral describes it as "bacterial SSU rRNA". It matches the Rfam family "Bacterial small subunit ribosomal RNA", at positions 605 to 904 of the family's 1533-position model. The record is from RNAcentral.
CAGCUCAACUGCAGAACUGCCUUUGAUACUGUUAGUCAUGAAUUUAGUUGAGGUAAGGGGAAUGUGUUGGGUACGGUUAAAUGGCUAGAGAUUAACACAGAACACCGAUUGCGAAGGAAUUUUACUAAGCUAUAAUUGACGCUGAUGCACGAAGCUGUGGGUAGCGAACAGGAUUAGAUACCCUGGUAUUCCACGCCGUAAACAAUGAUUACUCAUUGUUGGCAAUACAUAGUCUGCGACCGAGCAAAAGCAUUAAUUAAUCCACCUCGGGAGUACUUUGGCCUCACAAUGAAAACUCCU